Long non-coding RNA from Ipomoea nil (Japanese morning glory), 296 nucleotides. RefSeq lists it as uncharacterized. The record is from RefSeq and is a predicted model, not a curated record. The transcript has 3 exons. NCBI's taxonomy places the organism in Eukaryota, Viridiplantae, Streptophyta, Magnoliopsida, Solanales, Convolvulaceae.
UCCGCUCCCAGCUUUGGUGAUCUGAAUCACUUGAUUUCUGCAACAUUGAGUGGGGUGACUUGCUGCCUCAGGUUCCCUGGGCAACUCAACUCUGAUCUCCGGAAGCUUGCUGUCAACUUGAUUCCCUUCCCUCGUUUGCAUUUCUUUAUGGUGGGGUUUGCUCCUCUCACUUCUCGAGGAUCCCAGCAAUACCGUGCCCUUACAGUUCCUGAGCUUACCCAGCAAAUGUGGGAUGCCAAGAACAUGAUGUGUGCUGCUGAUCCUCGCCAUGGACGUUAUCUCACUGCCUCAGCAAC